Molecule: non-coding RNA, 21 nt
Filed under: Mus musculus (house mouse)
Lineage: Eukaryota; Metazoa; Chordata; Mammalia; Rodentia; Muridae
Source: RNAcentral
CUGGGAUGUGGAUGUUUACGU